GAAUGUGAGGGUGACGUGUUACACAGUUGAUUUCCAGCAUUAAGAUGGCUGGUCUCAUCUGGCUAAAUGGCUGUCCUUUUCCUCCCUCAUCCCACCACGUGUGUCUCUUUCAAAGCUCUGUGCUCUAUCCAUAAGGAUGACUUUUCUCUGGUAGAGGACAGUCUUUCAGUCAAGUGG
This 177-nucleotide small nuclear RNA is filed under the name Rattus norvegicus (Norway rat). RNAcentral's name for it is "7SK RNA". It matches the Rfam family "7SK RNA", at positions 1 to 191 of the family's 331-position model. Rfam says of the family: 7SK was discovered as an abundant small nuclear RNA in the mid-70s but a possible function has only recently been suggested. Lineage: Eukaryota; Metazoa; Chordata; Mammalia; Rodentia; Muridae. The record is from Rfam by way of RNAcentral.